CAGCCGCCGCGGUAAUACGUAGGUGGCAAGCGUUGUCCGGAGUUAUUGGGCGUAAAGGGCUCGCAGGCGGUUUCUUAAGUCUGAUGUGAAAGCCCCCGGCUCAACCGGGGAGGGUCAUUGGAAACUGGGAAACUUGAGUGCAGAAGAGGAGAGUGGAAUUCCACGUGUAGCGGUGAAAUGCGUAGAGAUGUGGAGGAACACCAGUGGCGAAGGCGACUCUCUGGUCUGUAACUGACGCUGAGACGCGAAAGCGUGGGGAGCAAACAGGAUUAGAUACCCCCGUAGUCCCUGUCUCUUAUAC
RNAcentral lists this ribosomal RNA (301 nucleotides) under uncultured bacterium. RNAcentral's name for it is "partial 16S ribosomal RNA". It matches the Rfam family "Bacterial small subunit ribosomal RNA", at positions 509 to 807 of the family's 1533-position model. The record is from RNAcentral.